Molecule: ribosomal RNA, 717 nt
Filed under: Lotophila atra
Lineage: Eukaryota; Metazoa; Arthropoda; Insecta; Diptera; Sphaeroceridae
Description: partial 12S ribosomal RNA
Source: RNAcentral
AUGUAAAUUUUUGUAUGAUUAAUAAAUUAUUUUAAUAAUAAUUUAUAUUUUAAAUAAUCGCAGUAAUUAAUAUUAUUGAUUAAAGAAAUUUAGAAAUAGUAAUAUUAAAUAGAAUUGGUUAAAUUUGUGCCAGCAUCCGCGGUUAUACAAAUAAUUCAGUAAAUUUAUAUUAGUGAGAAUUAAUUAUGUUAUAUUUUUAUAAAAUAAUUUAUUAAGUGAAAUUUUAAAUUAUAAAUUUUUAAUAAAAAGAUUAAUUGAAGUUCAAAAAUUUUAAUUAUAAACUAGGAUUAGAUACCCUAUUAUUUAAAAUGUAAUUAAAAACACUAAGGUAGUAUUAGUUAUGUUCUUGAAACUUAAAAAAUUUGGCGGUAUUUUAGUCUAUUCAGAGGAACCUGUUCUAUAAUCGAUAAUCCACGAUGGACCUUACUUAAGUUUGUUAAUCAGUUUAUAUACCGUCGUUAUUAGAAUAUUUUAUAAGAAUAAUAAUUUUCAUAAAAUUUUAUAAAAACAUAUAUCAGAUCAAGGUGUAGCUUAUAUUUAAGUAGAAAUGGGUUACAAUAAAAAUAUUUAUACGGAAAUAAUUAUGAAAAAAUUAUUUAAGGUGGAUUUGAUAGUAAAAUUAUAAAGAUUAAUAAUUUGAUUUUAGCUCUAAAAUAUGUACACAUCGCCCGUCGCUCUUAUUAAUAAGAUAAGAUAAGUCGUAACAUAGUAGAUGUA